Gallus gallus (chicken) is the source of this 2738-nucleotide non-coding RNA. Lineage: Eukaryota; Metazoa; Chordata; Aves; Galliformes; Phasianidae. The record is from the annotation of a RefSeq genome assembly.
GAGUCUCAACAGCAGCUGAGAGGGAACAGCAAGCAUGCUGCUGCCGGCAGCUCUUAUGGCCACAACUGUGUUGUUUUACGGAUUUGCACAGGAAAUUCCUAUACAGAGCCCCAUAUCCAUCACCAGGUUCCAGAAAAGUGCACGUAUGUUCUGUGAAAUGAAUAAAUUACCAGGACGUUUUGAUAACACCAUCAUGCACUGGUAUCAACUGAAAGAGAAUAAACCUCCAGAGAGGCUACUCUUCUUUGAAGGAGGGAAAGCUAGAGUUGAAAGUGGCUUUCAAGACAACAAGUACAUGGUUGAUAAAGUUUCUACUCGGAAUCUGUGUAUUCUUACAAUAAACGAUGUAAGUCCAGAUGAUGCUGCUACAUACUACUGUGCCUACUGGGACCCGCACCAUGAUAGAUGCUCAGAGACCAGCAAGACACAUAACUCCUUCAACCACGCAGCUUCAACUUCAGUCUACACCACAGGAUUGCUACUGCCUCAUUCCCCCUGCCUUCUCUCUCCAUCUGCUAUCAGCUGCUACCCAGAGCAAAUACUGCACAGAUGCAGGGUAUCAAAAAAAUUAAGGGCUGGGAGGGACCUCUGGAGAUCAUCCAGUCCAACCUCCCUGCUAAAGCAGAUUCCCUAGAGCAGGUUACAUGGGAAAGCAUCCAAGAAGGUCUUGAAUCUCUCCAGACGAUGUCUUGAUGUCUUCCGGAUGAUGCAGCUACCUAGUAUUGUUCCUACUGUGAUGCUCACAGGGGCAGAAGCCCAACAAUCCUGUCAACCAAUACUUCUCCAGCAGGUCAACCACAAACCACGUGAAAGAUCCCAACUCACUUCCCCAGCAGCAUGGGGGUGUCUCCUGAACACAUGGGUGGGAUUUCCCCACUGCUGACCAGGUCCUUGCACAUGUCAGCUGGCAAAAGGAAGGGAUUUCAAGCAAGCAAGCGCCGAGGGUGAAACAAACAGUGAAAGUCUGAAAUAUAACCCAACCUCAGCACUUCAGGUGUUCUUCCUCUUUCCUCAAGCAUAGCCAUGAAUUGUUUGUAAUGGUUCAGCUUGGAUACUAGGAAGAAUUUCUUCUCAGAAAGAGUGGCCAUAUGUUGGAACACGCUGCUCAGGGAAGUGGUGGACUCCCCGUCCUUGGAGGCAUUCAAGAAAAGGGUGGAUGUGGCACUUAGGGACGUGGUUUGUCAACAGGCUUGACGGUUGGACUAGAUGACCAUAGCAGUCUUUUCCAACCAUAAUGAUUCUAUGAUUCUGUGAUUUCUUCAGUAGAAAGCAGUGCUUUUCCACGCUGUUGUUCCUGGAGAUGACUCAGCAUGUUGCCCUGAAGAUUUUCAAAGCCUUUUGCUUGAUAAGAAAACUAAGAGAGAUCUUUAGCUUGAACAGUCCUAAGAUUUUCAGGGAAGAAAAAUGUCUUAUUUUGGUUUAGAAGCCAGCAAGUGAGGGAGAAGGGAGAUUUGCUAUUUAUUCCUCCGGAGAUCUGGAGAUGAGCAUUUUUCUUCUUUUUUGAGCUCUGUUGGUCUCCUUCCCCAUCCCUAUCCUUGCUCUCAUUUUCUGUGUUUCACUCCCAGUCAUCACAGUAACAACACAUCUGAAUCACUACAGCAGUGUGGAUGCAUGAUGGCCAAAGCCAGUAACAACGAAAAGGGCUUUCCUCCUUUAAGAACGACUUUCCGUAUUUAUGCCUGUAAGCAGUGUGUCCCACUUAGCUACAGCUUCAGUGUUCAUGUUGACCCUCACGGCUAUGAAAAUAAUCCACCGAAGUUUUUCCCUAUCAUCAAGCCUUUCUUUAGUAUUUUCCUUUGCUGUGGGACACUGAGACUCUCCUGACUUUCUUCUUUGAACUGUAAGUCACUGAAGAAUAUUAAUCUGAUGGGUUGAAAAAGUGACACAGUUUCAUGUAUGUAGUAGGUGUCCAAAUGGGCUAGUGUUGAAUUUUGUCCUACUACUGCUUGCAAGCCAAAAAUAUACAGAGGAACUGCACAACCUUUCUGCAACACACAGUGCUUUGCUUGCUGUGUUUCUUCCAAUGAGACCUCCCAUCUACUCACAGUUGUGGACACAGUCCAAUCCCAGCAAGAGCAGGCAAGGUGGCAGUGCGUCCUUCACAGCGUGACUUGGUACACAGCAGGGGAAGAACUGGUCAGCUUCUUUCUCUACCUAAGUUACUGUUCGCAUUGCAUUUCGUUUGCAAUAAAAGUAAUAGAAUUUCUUAUGUUGGAAAAGCCCCAUAAGAUCAUCAAGUCCACCCAUCCAUCUAGCACUACGAAGUCCAGCACUAAACCUUGUCCCUUAGCACAACUACUACAUGCCUUUUAAAUACCCCCAGAGAUGGGAACUCCACCGUUUAUUUCACUGAGCAGCCUGUUCAGCAAUUCUGCUCAGACAAAUUUAGAAUAGAUGACUGUUUCUGUUACAUCUGCUUAAACUGAAAGGUGGUCUAAACUGCUUAAACCAUCUGCAGCCUGGUUCCUCUCAGCAGCCACAAACUGUAAUUUCUUGACAUUGGUUUCUAGUCAUUACGGCACACAAGGUCCCAGAAGUAUUCAAACUGUUCCUCUGACAUGUCAAACUAAGCAUGCAGCCGGAUUGUCAGUACCAGGGUUUUCUCCGGUCUUAUCUUGGGCUGUCCUGAAAGAAACAAGUGUGCAAAAGGAAAGUGUUCAUCAUCCUUAUGCUGAUGUACCAAAAGAUGUCGGUGAGUGGUUAUUUCAGGGUCAGGAUCGAUUGCAGGAGGCAGACAG